Molecule: ribosomal RNA, 440 nt
Filed under: uncultured bacterium
Lineage: Bacteria
Description: partial 16S ribosomal RNA
Rfam family: Bacterial small subunit ribosomal RNA
Source: RNAcentral
CCUACGGGGGGCAGCAGUGGGGAAUAUUGCUCAAUGGGGGAAACCCUGAUGCAGCGACGCCGCGUGAGUGAUGAAGUAUUUCGGUAUGUAAAGCUCUAUCAGUAGGGAAGAAAAUGACGGUACCUGAUUAAUAAGCACCGGCUAACUACGUGCCAGCAGCCGCGGUAAUACGUAGGGGGCAAGCGUUAUCCGGAUUCACUGGGUGUAAAGGGCGCGUAGACGGCAUAGCAAGUCUGAAGUGAAAUGCUGUGGCUUAACCCCGGAACUGCUUUGGAAACUGUGCAGCUAGAGUGCAGGAGAGGUAAGUGGAAUUCCUGGUGUAGCGGUGAAAUGCGUAGAUAUUAGGAGGAACACCAGUGGCGAAGGCGGCUUACUGGACUGUAACUGACGUUGAGGCUCGAAAGCGUGGGGAGCAAACAGGAUUAGAUACCCCGGUAGUC